GACGAACGCUGGCGGCGUGCUUAACACGUGCAAGUCGAACGGAAAGGCCCUGCUUUUGUGGGGUGCUCGAGUGGCGAACGGGUGAGUAACACGUGAGUAACCUGAUCUUGACUUUGGGAUAACUUCAGGAAACUGGGGUUAAUCUCGGAUAGGAGCUCCUGUUGCAUGGUGGGGGUUGGAAAGUUUCGGCGGUUGGGGAUGGACUAGCGGCUUAUCGGCUUGUUGGUGGGGUAGUGGCUUACCAAGGCUUGGACGGGUCGUCGGCCUGUGAGGGUGACCGGCGACAUUGGGACUAAGAGACGGCCCAGUCUGCUACAGGAGGCAGCAGUGGGGAAUAUUACACAAUGGGCGGAAGCCUGAUGCAGCAACGCCGCGUGCGGGAUGACGGCCUUCGGGUAGUAAACCGCUGUCGCCUGUGACGAAGCUGGAGUGACGGUAAUGGGUGAAGAAGCACCGGCUAACUACGUG
This 468-nucleotide ribosomal RNA is filed under the name uncultured bacterium. RNAcentral describes it as "partial 16S ribosomal RNA". It matches the Rfam family "Bacterial small subunit ribosomal RNA", at positions 28 to 507 of the family's 1533-position model. The record is from RNAcentral.